CCCAAGUAGAUGUGACAAGGACAUAUCAUGUUGAGUAGUACUAGCAUAGUAUCACUCAAAUGAUAUUUCACCCAUAUCACGAUCUAUGUUGCUCGGACUCGGGUAUAAGGUGCGGGUGCGAAUCUAGGAAUCGGGCACCCAACUUGAAAAAUGCAGGAUACACAUAUAUGGAUCCAAAAUUGGACACGCGUAUACCGGGAUACGGUAUAGUAUAAUAAUCAAUGGCAUUGAAUUGAUUACAACGAAACUCAAAUAUGGUAGGUGACAUAUACUAUUAUGCAAUUUAGAGUCAAUUUAUUUGUAUAAUGUCCAUUUAACCGUUAUAUACUUGUUAAUAAAAAGAUAAUAUGGUAUAACAAAUGACGAAAGAAGUCAGAAACUAUUUUUGUGUUUUAAAAAAUAUUCAGCAUACACACAGGAUGCGCUGGCCUGUAGUGAUAUUUGAGAAGAGAAAUUAGGGUCAUCUAUGGCUUUGGCCCUUAGCAAAUUGCUAGAAUAAGUAUUUGGACAAAUAGGUAAUCAUCAAAUAAACAUUUCCCAAACUUUCUUUGAACCCACACUAAAAAACAAGUAUCAACAUUCUAAUUGAAACAAACCCAAAAAAAAAUAUAAUGAAAUUAGUAUCAAGACUUAAGCAUAAAGAAUUCCCACAUAACCUCUGGUAGCAUGGGCGGAGGGCACUGGGUCAUGUGGGGUCACUUGAGCCACUGACCUCCAAAUUCUGUCUUGAUAAAUUGAUUGUGAACUUGACCCCACAAUUAGAAUGAAAUUAUCCUCAGCAUGAAAGAAUUCCUAGUGAAACUACAUUCUUGUGCCCUUUUUGGUACUAUAAUUUUGCUAACAACUGUCUAAUAGGCAUGGAUAUUACACACACAAUGCUAAAAAAAAAGUACUAUUUUGACAAAACUCUCACGAAGAUCAAUUGACACUCAUAGAUUUGUAUGCAUCUUUCAUCGGUGUUGAGACAAUUUAAGCAUAUUAAUCACUGCCCUAGGGCAAGUGGGUUGGAGUGCAGUUGGUGCCUCCCUUAUACUCCCAUACACAUAGGCAGGGUUCGAUUCCCAGAAGCACUCAUUCCCCUCCCCAAGUAGAGUAGAUUAGGAUUAACGAAUGGCAAAAAAAAAAAAAAAAAGUCACUGCCCUAGGGAUUGUGGCUAGCAAUUUUUCCAAGGUUGACUAGCUAAUGGGCAACAAAAUCAAGUAUGUCUCUAAGUAUUGACCCGACUGCUCAAAAAUGCUGGCUCCGCCCAUGUCGGGUAUAGAUCUGAACAACUUCCAUAUUCACCAUCACACCACCCAAAUUAUAACAAAAAGUUAUCUGAACCUGGAAACCGAACACACAAGUACUACCAAUUGAAGCAAAUCCGAAGGGUUUUGGCCAAGUGGGCAUGAGAAAAGCUAUUAAGUGCUAGUCCCCAUGAGGUUGCAUGUUUAGAUAUCAUGUAGCACCAACAUUUCAAUCCUCGGGGCCACUAGAGGGAUUCAGGCCUCGGAAUUAGUCCAAUUGCGUGCAAGCUGGUCCGGAUAUUCGGUUAUAAAAUAAAUUCCAAUUGAAGAAAACCCACAAAGAUAUGAAUCAAUUACCAAUAAUCAAACCCAUAGAAUGGCCAAAAAAAAAAAAAAACAACAAA
This is a long non-coding RNA of Rhododendron vialii, 1631 nucleotides long. RefSeq lists it as uncharacterized. Lineage: Eukaryota; Viridiplantae; Streptophyta; Magnoliopsida; Ericales; Ericaceae. The transcript is spliced from 2 exons. The record is from RefSeq and is a predicted model, not a curated record.